CCUACGGGGGGCAGCAGUGGGGAAUAUUGGGCAAUGGAGGAAACUCUGACCCAGCAAUGCCGCGUGAAUGAAGAAGGUCUUCGGAUUGUAAAGUUCUUUAGUCAGGGAAGAAUAAAAUGACGGUACCUUAAGAAUAAGCUCCGGCUAACUACGUGCCAGCAGCCGCGGUAAUACGUAGGGAGCAAGCGUUGUUCGGAAUGACUGGGCGUAAAGAGUGCGUAGGCGGGAUAGCAAGUCAGAUGUGAAAUCCUAUGGCUUAACCAUAGAACUGCAUUUGAAACUGUUAUUCUAGAGUAUGGGAGAGGUAGGUGGAAUUCUUGGUGUAGGGGUAAAAUCCGUAGAGAUCAAGAGGAAUACUCAUUGCGAAGGCGACCUGCUAGAACAUAACUGACGCUGAUGCGCGAAAGCGUGGGGAGCAAACAGGAUUAGAUACCCGGGUAGUC
Molecule: ribosomal RNA, 443 nt
Filed under: uncultured bacterium
Lineage: Bacteria
Description: partial 16S ribosomal RNA
Rfam family: Bacterial small subunit ribosomal RNA
Source: RNAcentral